CUAGUUUGCGUUGUUAACCCAUAUAGGUAUAAUUUGCAAACACUGGUAUUAAUUAGCAAACACUGGUAAUUUUAUUCAUAUCCACUCUGUUCCUUAGUAUCCAGUGACCUUGUGAAAGCUUACUGUCUCUCCUACGCAAUGCUAUCAACAGACAACAGCAACCAAACAUAGAUCAUUCCUCAUGCUUCCAAGUUCCAGUUCCAGGAAUCUAGGUGUUUCUCUUGGAGUUUUGCCAUUAGCCCUUCCAUUACACGUGUGUCACGGUUGAUACAUUAUAGAUGUAAUCGUUUGGGCGUAUCUAGCAUUUUUAAACGAUUUUCCGUUCAUUAUUAACUAUAUAAUCAUCAAUAUUAGGCUAAUUAAUAUGUGCACCAAAAAGAAACCAAUACUGCGCCUGCCAUUAGUAACAUCAUGAGUUCCCAAGACAACAGAUCACAUUGGCUACAAAUGAUUCCCUUACCAAGUAGAAUCCAAGAAGAAAUGUAAAGAUAAGAUUGUGAAACUUUCAAAAAGUCCCCUUCCAGUACAUCUAAUACUAUGUAAUAGCAGGAUGGCUAACAAAUCUCCAUCCUGACAAGAAGCCCUAUUGUACUUUGAAAAAAGGGAGCCAUCAGCUAUGGAUCCUAUUCAAGAAAUAAUGGCAACCUGUGGUGAAGCUUAUGAUCCCAUUGGUUGAAGUGAAGAUCAAGUGGCAACACCCCACUUGCCCAGCGUUAAACAAGACCCUGUCUACUGUCCAUAGUCCCCACCCACUCCAACCCUAGAUGACGAUACCCCAAUCAGCUGGUUUCCUUUUGCUCAUACAAUACCUGGAGAAAUCACAGAUCCAGGAUCAGAUGACAGGAGGAAAGGACACAAAAAGAAGAGGAGAGACAAAGAAAACAGGAAGAAUUAAUUGACUAAUGACAAUCAGAGGAGGAAGAAAUUUGCAGGCAACAGGAAGCAACCACAAAGGAAGCUCCAGCACACCUCCUUCGACUCCUACCUUGCCACCAGAGGAUGCAGCAACCCCAUCAGUACCCCCUCCACAGAAAUCAACUGCCCAGAACCCAUUCCCCCUUCGUCCAGAUGCAACUCCUCAAAUUUUUAGGUUAUGGUGAUGUCAAUGGAACAAUUAUUCUUUCAUGGUGGAUCUACCAGAAUUACCCAGAGAGAAACAAUUAAUCCAGAUGAGGAUGUGUCUUGCCUUGGGGAGACAGGAUCCUCAAGCACACACUGGACAUAUAUCCCCUGGCCAGAUUAAGUAUCAAUGAAGUUUAGGGUGCCCUUCAAGAACACAUCAAGAGCCUUUGCAAUGAGAAUCUACGUCUUAGGCGGCUGCUCACUAGCAAACGAUUAGAGGGAGAAUCUUUUUCAGACGUACGUUGCAUAAGACUCAAGAACAUUGCUGAGGAAGUAAUCUUCAGUUAGUGAGCAAACCUAGAUGAAGAUGAUCAUCCUCAUGGAGUCAUGCAUGAAGAUCUAACCGAGAAACUUGGAGAUCUCAACACCAACAAUUCUACAGGAUGCUAACAAUACAUGUCGCAUCUAUAAGGCCACCAGGAAGGCCAUUUCUGCAAUUCGUGCUUCGCCCUCACACCACAGGAAGCAGAAGAAACAUAGAAUGGUUCCCACCCCUACCACAUCAUCACAAAGUUUUUCAUGCCAUUAGUGCAGCAGACAGGUCCAGUGCUGCCCCAGCAACUGAGAGGUAUAUUACAACAAUGCUGCUGGAAGAGGAUAGGGGAUGCCAGACAGGCUGCGACUUCCAGUGCCAAGUCUUCACCACCCUCUCUGGGCAACCUCAGUUGUCACUGGAUGGGAAAACCCUCUUCUAUCAAGACUGCAGCCAAUCUCCGUUUCCCUCUCGUAAAGUUACAUCACUUCAGGAUUCAGAUGUUGCCAGACACAAGUGCCAACAUGGCCCUCAGUAUCCUGAUUUGUGCUUUCCUAGGAGUGCACUACAACCCCACCAGUUGACCCGAUGUUCACUGCAGAUGGUUCUACAAUGACACCUCCCCUAGGAUCCUUCACAGUCACUCUCACCUUAGCUGAGAUGGCCUGUCCAGCAAGGACACAAGUCCAUGAAGAUGCCUGAACAUCACUGCUGUCAUAUAGCCACUGCAAAGAGUUGGCCAUUAUUCCACCAGUUAACCCAGACCAAUUAUGGAUGUUACGUAUGUCAAUACGUGUCCAGAGUUGCCUUUCCAUGCCACCACAUUGCCUGCUAAAGCCUUUUUUUUUUAAUAACACUAGUUAAAAGAUGAAAAAAGCCCCAUUCAAGGUGAUGGAAGGACCCCCAAUGUGAAUUCACCUAAAGGAAGAUGUUGUAGCUCUUGCCAACAGUACACCUUGAAGGGAGAAUGUUUUUGGUCUCUCUCACAAAACGCCUUUUGGUAAAUUUGCUCAUAAAUAUACCAACGGGUUGCUGAAUCUUCAUUCUCUGUAAAUUUACAUAAAUAUUUUUCAACAAAUACUAAGAAUUUAUUACUGCUUAUAUUUUUCGUAUUUUGAUAAUGUGUGAGCAAUAAUUAUAAUUUUACAAAAUAAAUUUAAUUUAUUAGAAAAAACAUGUAUAAGUUGGUAAAAUUUAUGGCUGUCUGUAAAAGGUAGGGAAAAUUUUUUAGAAUUUUUUUUCUUUCACCAUGUACAUUUGCAUAUCUUCCUCUUUCCAUU
This is a long non-coding RNA of Macrobrachium nipponense, 2655 nucleotides long. RefSeq lists it as uncharacterized. The transcript has 4 exons. The record is from RefSeq and is a predicted model, not a curated record. Lineage: Eukaryota; Metazoa; Arthropoda; Malacostraca; Decapoda; Palaemonidae.